AUGUUUUGGAGCCUUGCAAAUCUACUGGACCUGUUCAGAAGCAAUUGCAACAAACAUCAUCAAUGAAUGCUCAAACCAAAACUCAACUAUAAAUGCCAAAAUAGGAGAAAAAGCGAAAAGGAAAACUACAUAUGCACCACUUAUCAAAAAUUACGAUCCACUAGUCUUAAGGCUCGCAAUUUCUGAUCUUGAACCAAAGGCCACCAAGCUCAAUCCUUUUCAACAUACUGUACACCGAUUUUACUACGUAUUAUUAGACUCAACGAGUGAUAUCGACCCAGAAGAGACCUUCUAAACAG
Molecule: long non-coding RNA, 299 nt
Organism: Rhodamnia argentea
Lineage: Eukaryota; Viridiplantae; Streptophyta; Magnoliopsida; Myrtales; Myrtaceae
Exons: 2
Source: RefSeq, a predicted model, not a curated record